Molecule: ribosomal RNA, 479 nt
Filed under: uncultured bacterium
Lineage: Bacteria
Description: bacterial SSU rRNA
Rfam family: Bacterial small subunit ribosomal RNA
Source: RNAcentral
AUGAACGCUAGCGGCAGGCCUAAUGCAUGCAAGUCGAACGAGAUUAAGGGGCUUGCUCCUUAUGAAAGUGGCGCACGGGUGCGUAACGCGUAUGCAACCUACCUCAAUCAGGGGGAUAGCCCGAAGAAAUUCGGAUUAACACCGCAUAAAAACACAGGAUAGCAUUAUCUAAUGUUCAAAUAUUUAUAGGAUUGAGAUGGGCAUGCGUGUCAUUAGCUAGUUGGCGGGGUAACGGCCCACCAAGGCGACGAUGACUAGGGGAUCUGAGAGGAUGACCCCCACACUGGUACUGAGACACGGACCAGACUCCUACGGGAGGCAGCAGUAAGGAAUAUUGGUCAAUGGAGGCAACUCUGAACCAGCCAUGCCGCGUGCAGGAGGACAGCCCUCUGGGUCGUAAACUGCUUUUAUUCGGGAAUAAACCUAUUUACGUGUAAAUAGCUGAAUGUACCGAAGGAAUAAGGAUCGGCUAACUCCGU